UACGAAGGGGGCUAGCGUUGCUCGGAAUCACUGGGCGUAAAGGGUGCGUAGGCGGGUCUUUAAGUCAGGGGUGAAAUCCUGGAGCUCAACUCCAGAACUGCCUUUGAUAAUGAGGAUCUUGAGUUCGGGAGAGGUGAGUGGAACUGCGAGUGUAGAGGUGAAAUUCGUAGAUAUUCGCAAGAACACCAGUGGCGAAGGCGGCUCACUGGCCCGAUACUGACGCUGAGGCACGAAAGCGUGGGGAGCAAACAGG
This 253-nucleotide ribosomal RNA is filed under the name uncultured bacterium. RNAcentral's name for it is "partial 16S ribosomal RNA". It matches the Rfam family "Bacterial small subunit ribosomal RNA", at positions 524 to 776 of the family's 1533-position model. The record is from RNAcentral.